ACCUACGGGAGGCAGCAGUGAGGGAUAUUGGUCAAUGGGAGAGAUCCUGAACCAGCCAAGCCGCGUGAGGGAAGACGGCCCUAUGGGUUGUAAACCUCUUUUGUCGGAGAACAAAACCCGGGACGAGUCCCGGACUGCGUGUAUCCGAAGAAAAAGCAUCGGCUAACUCCGUGCCAGCAGCCGCGGUAAUACGGAGGAUGCGAGCGUUAUCCGGAUUUAUUGGGUUUAAAGGGUGCGUAGGCGGUCCGUUAAGUCAGCGGUAAAAUCGUGGGGCCCAACCCCGUCCCGCCGUUGAAACUGGCGGG
This 305-nucleotide ribosomal RNA is filed under the name uncultured bacterium. RNAcentral describes it as "bacterial SSU rRNA". It matches the Rfam family "Bacterial small subunit ribosomal RNA", at positions 337 to 640 of the family's 1533-position model. The record is from RNAcentral.